CCUACGGGGAGCAGCAGUGGGGGAUAUUGCACAAUGGGGGGAACCCUGAUGCAGCGACGCCGCGUGGGUGAAGAAGCGCCUCGGCGCGUAAAGCCCUGUCAGCAGGGAAGAAAAUGACGGUACCUGAAGAAGAAGCCCCGGCUAACUACGUGCCAGCAGCCGCGGUAAUACGUAGGGGGCAAGGGUUAUCCGGAUUUACUGGGUGGAAAGGGGGGGCAGACGGCGAUGCAAGACAGGAGUGAAAGCCCGGGGCCCAACCCCGGGACGGCUCUUGGAACUGCGUGGCUGGAGUGCAGGAGGGGCAGGCGGAAUUCCUGGUGUAGCGGUGAAAUGCGUAGAUAUCAGGAGGAACACCGGUGGCGAAGGCGGCCUGCUGGACUGCAACUGACGUUGAGGCCCGAAAGCGUGGGGAGCAAACAGGAUUAGAUACCCGGGUAGUC
RNAcentral lists this ribosomal RNA (440 nucleotides) under uncultured bacterium. Its description in RNAcentral is "partial 16S ribosomal RNA". It matches the Rfam family "Bacterial small subunit ribosomal RNA", at positions 338 to 795 of the family's 1533-position model. The record is from RNAcentral.